Molecule: ribosomal RNA, 488 nt
Filed under: uncultured bacterium
Lineage: Bacteria
Description: bacterial SSU rRNA
Rfam family: Bacterial small subunit ribosomal RNA
Source: RNAcentral
GAUCCUGGCUCAGAUGAACGCUAGCGGCAGGCUUAACACAUGCAAGUCGAGGGGUAUAGUAGCAAUACUAGAGACCGGCGCACGGGUGCGUAACGCGUAUGCAACCUACCUUUUACAGAGGGAUAGCCCAGAGAAAUUUGGAUUAAUACCUCAUAGUGUUAUUAGAUGGCAUCAUUUGAUAACUAAAGUUCCAACGGUAAAAGAUGGGCAUGCGUCCUAUUAGCUAGAUGGUAAGGUAACGGCUUACCAUGGCUACGAUGGGUAGGGGUCCUGAGAGGGAGAUCCCCCACACUGGUACUGAGACACGGACCAGACUCCUACGGGAGGCAGCAGUGAGGAAUAUUGGACAAUGGGCGCAAGCCUGAUCCAGCCAUGCCGCGUGCAGGAAGAAGCAUCUAUGGUGUGUAAACUGCUUUUGUACGGGAAGAAACACUCCUACGUGUAGGAGCUUGACGGUACCGUAAGAAUAAGGAUCGGCUAACUCCGUG